This 89-nucleotide transfer RNA is filed under the name Propionibacteriaceae bacterium. Its description in RNAcentral is "tRNA-Ser". It matches the Rfam family "tRNA". From Rfam's summary of the family: Transfer RNA (tRNA) molecules are approximately 80 nucleotides in length. Their secondary structure includes four short double-helical elements and three loops (D, anti-codon, and T loops). Lineage: Bacteria; Bacillati; Actinomycetota; Actinomycetes; Propionibacteriales; Propionibacteriaceae. The record is from RNAcentral.
GGUGACGUGUCUGAGCGGCCGAAAGAGCGCGCCUCGAAAGCGCGUGUGGGUUUUACCCACCGUGGGUUCAAAUCCCACCGUCACCGCCA